Molecule: non-coding RNA, 109 nt
Organism: Acanthosepion pharaonis
Lineage: Eukaryota; Metazoa; Mollusca; Cephalopoda; Sepiida; Sepiidae
Source: the annotation of a GenBank genome assembly
GCCACAAGAUGUUGAAAAACUGGUUCCUAUAUGAUCACCAAAGUUAAGCAACAUUGAGCCUGCUCAGUACCUAGAUGGGUGACUGCUUGGGAAUUCCAGGUGCUGUAAG